This 600-nucleotide ribosomal RNA is filed under the name uncultured bacterium. RNAcentral's name for it is "bacterial SSU rRNA". The stretch from base 1 to 519 matches the Rfam family "Bacterial small subunit ribosomal RNA", at positions 338 to 873 of the family's 1533-position model. The record is from RNAcentral.
CCUACGGGAGGCAGCAGUGGGGAAUCUUGCGCAAUGGGGGCAACCCUGACGCAGCCAUGCCGCGUGAAUGAUGAAGGCCUUAGGGUUGUAAAGUUCUUUUGCCCGUGACGAUGAUGACGGUAACGGGAGAAUAAGCUCCGGCUAACUUCGUGCCAGCAGCCGCGGUAAUACGAAGGGGGCUAGCGUUGUUCGGAAUUACUGGGCGUAAAGCGCGCGCAGGCGGUUCGAUAAGUUAGGGGUGAAAUCCCUGGGCUCAACCCAGGAAUGGCCUUUAAGACUGUCGAGCUAGAGGACGAGAGAGGUGAGUGGAAUUCCCAGUGUAGAGGUGAAAUUCGUAGAUAUUGGGAAGAACACCGGUGGCGAAGGCGGCUCACUGGCUCGUUUCUGACGCUGAGGCGCGAAAGCGUGGGGAGCAAACAGGAUUAGAUACCCUGGUAGUCCACGCCCUAAACGAUGAGUGCCAGGUGUCGGGAAGCUUAGCUUCUCGGCGCCGGCAGCUACGACCUUACGCACUCCGCCGUGGGAGGUACGGCCGCGAACGUAAACGUACAAUAGAUAGACGGCGUGAGACGUGCCGACGGACGACGACGAGGGAGUAGG